CUUGGAUGAAUUGUUUGUUGAGAGGUUUUCGCAUCAUCACAAUUUACUGCUUCUGUCACAGUUUUAAGUUCAUUGCAAAAAUUUCUCAUGUGCUUGAGUUUGUGGAGUUGGUUUAUUCAGUUCUGUUUCCUCAAUUCAUUUGAUGUAUGGGGGUGCUUGAGUUUUGUUGAGAAUGGUUAUACACUUAUACUGCUAACUUCUGACUCUCUUGUAAGUAAACUUGUAAGAAGUGUCGUAAUUGGAAAGUGUUUUUGGUUUUUGGAAAUGCAAGCUAUCUUAGGUAGAAGAGAGAGAUGUUUGGGGGCAUGAGUGUUAUUGAUAUUUUAAUAUUCUUCAUAAUAGAUAGAAAAAACAUGGUAGGUCUAAUUGACUUUGCUUCCUUUGGUAGAACCUUAAUUACAAAAAGACAUUAAU
RNAcentral lists this long non-coding RNA (414 nucleotides) under Vigna radiata. RNAcentral's name for it is "long non-coding RNA (VRAD_LNC003541)". The record is from RNAcentral. Lineage: Eukaryota; Viridiplantae; Streptophyta; Magnoliopsida; Fabales; Fabaceae.